AGAGGCUUAGGCUAGCACCCGAGACCAAGGGCCUUCAAAGCCCUGAGCGGGAGUGAAAAUCUCCCAGCCCCUG
This 73-nucleotide transfer RNA is filed under the name Eleotris fusca (dusky sleeper). RNAcentral's name for it is "tRNA-Trp". It matches the Rfam family "tRNA". Rfam says of the family: Transfer RNA (tRNA) molecules are approximately 80 nucleotides in length. Their secondary structure includes four short double-helical elements and three loops (D, anti-codon, and T loops). The record is from RNAcentral. Lineage: Eukaryota; Metazoa; Chordata; Actinopteri; Gobiiformes; Eleotridae.